Molecule: ribosomal RNA, 327 nt
Filed under: uncultured bacterium
Lineage: Bacteria
Description: bacterial SSU rRNA
Rfam family: Bacterial small subunit ribosomal RNA
Source: RNAcentral
AGUGAACGCUGGCGGCAGGCCUAAUACAUGCAAGUCGAACGGCAGCACAGCAGAGCUUGCUCUGUGGGUGGCGAGUGGCGGACGGGUGAGGAAUACGUGGGAAUCUGCCCAGUCGUGGGGAUAACGUAGGGAAACUUACGCUAAUACCGCAUGCGCCUUCGGGGAAAGCCGGGGACCUUCGGGCCUGGCGCGAUUGGAUGAGCCCACGUCGGAUUAGCUAGUUGGCGGGGUAAAGGCCCACCAAGGCGACGAUCCGUAGCUGGUCUGAGAGGAUGAUCAGCCACACUGGAACUGAGACACGGUCCAGACUCCUACGGGAGGCAGCAG